GACGAACGCUGGCGGCGUGCUUAACACAUGCAAGUCGAACGGCAAGGCCCUGCUUUUGUGCGGUGCUCGAGUGGCGAUCGGGUGCGUAACACGUGAGUAACCUGCCCUUGACUUUGGGAUAACUUCAGGUAACUGGGGCUAAUAUCGGAUCGGAGCUCAUGCUGCAUGGUGGGGGUUGGAACGUUUCGGCGGGUGGGGAUGGACUCGCGGCUUACGAGCUUGCUGGUGGGGUAGUCGCUUACCCAGGGUUUGACGGGUCGCCGGCCUGUGAGGGGGGCCGGCGUCAAGACGCCUACGAGACGGCGCAGACGCGUACGGUAGACAACAGGGGCGAGUAUGGCACAGUGGGCGGAAGCCUGAUGCGGCAACGCUGCGUGCGGGAAGACGGCUUGCGGGUUGUGAACCGCUUUCGCCUGUGACGAAGCGGGAGUGACGGUAAUGAGUAAAGAAGCACCGGCUAACUACGUG
RNAcentral lists this ribosomal RNA (468 nucleotides) under uncultured bacterium. RNAcentral describes it as "partial 16S ribosomal RNA". It matches the Rfam family "Bacterial small subunit ribosomal RNA", at positions 28 to 507 of the family's 1533-position model. The record is from RNAcentral.